AAAUAGUUUCCAUGUGAGAAUCAAUCUUCUCGCUCGUCCCUGCGGAUAGAAGAAUCUCUGCUCUCUGGAGGAGAGAAGGUUAAAGAAAAAAAAUGUCUAAAGAAGGAUAUACCAGGAAACCAGAUAAAUUAUGCAGUUCAAACAUGUUCGAAGUUGACGAAAAAGAGAUCCACGUAUUCGGAAAUGAAUGGCGCGUUCGAAUUGUGAGUGUGACUGCGUCGAGGACAAAAUGAAAGACGCUUCCGUGAUAAUUUCCGAUCGUGACGUUUCGCAUCGUCAAAACUGCGAUAGCGUACUUUAUUAUCGUGGAAUCAACACGGGUCACCCGGUUGAAAAUUCUCCAACAUAUGUGUCCAGAGAAAAAAGAGAUAAGCGAAAAUAUAUAGCAAUGGAAAAUUCGAACAAGAGACGAAUCAGUAUCAUGGAACGUUGCAGAAUUUUGACUUUAAUACAUCGAAUAAAAAAUUCUGCUUUACACAUAGAGGAAUUUCCAUGAGAAUAGCAGUUGAUCACUCCUGAUUUAAACAAUGAAUAUAUUUAAAUAUUAUGAUAACCAAUAGUUCAAGAAUCCAACAUGAUCAUCAGUCAUUUAAGGUCCAAACUCGCCGUUUGGAACAAGUAUGACUAAUAAUGACCAGUAAAACCGGAAACUGAAGCAACGAGAAAAACGGAACGCAUAGCGCAGCCUCAUUAAAAGCGUCAAGUAGAAACUAUUCUCUGCAACAGGAAAUUAACGAGGAACGAUAAGAACAAUCGUUUUGCUGUCAUAUAGCAGACGAUAAAAAAAAGGGAAGGAGGCGAAGAUAAAAAGGGGAGCAUAAACGUCGCAUUCAUGCGAUCGAUAGGCUUCGAUGCCACGUUCCAUUCUGCAUGUACUUUGUUUUCGUAAUGAAUUAUUUAAAGGGUUGCGGUACUUCGCGGCAACUUUGAAAAAGGAAGGACACGCGUGCUCAGAGAGAGCGAGAGAGAGAGAGAGAGAAUGAUUGAAAAAAGUGAGAAAAAAAAAAGAAAGAAUAAUGGAAAACGACGAAAAUUCUGAAUAAUACAUGAGAAAACCGAGAGUAUUUUGAUCCUUAUGCAGGUGAUGGGGUCGUGGGCGGAUCAAAGAUGGAUUUUUACGAUACACCCGAACGAAGAAGCAAACGGAAAUAAAACAGCGGUCAGGAACGAUAUACACGUUUUAAGAGGAGGUGGAAACAUGUAUACUUUCGAACAGUGCCUUCCUUUUAGUCGAAGGUUUUACGAUGACGUUUAUUCGCGGCGCUCGUCUCGCGAAACGGGGGUUAAAAAUAACCUCGUAAGACGUGAAACCUUGGUGAUAACAUUUUUACGAUUUUCACAAUUUCCGAGUUGGGAAAGAGAUGGCAUCCAACGUGACCAAGGGG
This 1385-nucleotide long non-coding RNA is filed under the name Apis mellifera (honey bee). RNAcentral's name for it is "uncharacterized LOC102656017, transcript variant X2". The record is from RNAcentral. Lineage: Eukaryota; Metazoa; Arthropoda; Insecta; Hymenoptera; Apidae.